GGAGAGAUGGCUGAGCUGGUCGAAGGCGCGCGACUGGAAAUCGCGUAUACGGACAAAAUCCGUAUCGGGGGUUCGAAUCCCCCUCUCUCCG
Molecule: transfer RNA, 91 nt
Filed under: Thermobrachium celere DSM 8682
Lineage: Bacteria; Bacillati; Bacillota; Clostridia; Eubacteriales; Clostridiaceae
Rfam family: tRNA
About the family: Transfer RNA (tRNA) molecules are approximately 80 nucleotides in length. Their secondary structure includes four short double-helical elements and three loops (D, anti-codon, and T loops).
Source: Rfam by way of RNAcentral